Molecule: ribosomal RNA, 464 nt
Filed under: Vreelandella stevensii
Lineage: Bacteria; Pseudomonadati; Pseudomonadota; Gammaproteobacteria; Oceanospirillales; Halomonadaceae
Description: partial 16S ribosomal RNA
Rfam family: Bacterial small subunit ribosomal RNA
Source: RNAcentral
CCUACGGGAGGCUGCAGUGGGGAAUAUUGGACAAUGGGGGGAACCCUGAUCCAGCCAUGCCGCGUGUGUGAAGAAGGCCCUCGGGUUGUAAAGCACUUUCAGUGAGGAAGAACGCCUGGUGGUUAAUACCCAUCAGGAAAGACAUCACUCACAGAAGAAGCACCGGCUAACUCCGUGCCAGCAGCCGCGGUAAUACGGAGGGUGCGAGCGUUAAUCGGAAUUACUGGGCGUAAAGCGCGCGUAGGUGGCUUGAUAAGCCGGUUGUGAAAGCCCCGGGCUCAACCUGGGAACGGCAUCCGGAACUGUCAAGCUAGAGUGCAGGAGAGGAAGGUAGAAUUCCCGGUGUAGCGGUGAAAUGCGUAGAGAUCGGGAGGAAUACCAGUGGCGAAGGCGGCCUUCUGGACUGACACUGACACUGAGGUGCGAAAGCGUGGGUAGCAAACAGGAUUAGAUACCCAGUAGUC